Molecule: transfer RNA, 73 nt
Filed under: Methanobacteriota archaeon
Lineage: Archaea; Methanobacteriati; Methanobacteriota
Description: Euryarchaeota archaeon (anaerobic digester metagenome) tRNA-Gln
Rfam family: tRNA
About the family: Transfer RNA (tRNA) molecules are approximately 80 nucleotides in length. Their secondary structure includes four short double-helical elements and three loops (D, anti-codon, and T loops).
Source: RNAcentral
AGCCCCGUAGUGUAGUGGUCAAUCAUUUCGGCCUUUGGAGCCGGCGACGCCAGUUCGAAUCUGGCCGGGGCUA